CCAAAAUUAUUAGUUUCCUCUCCGCGCUGCACCAAUGUGGCAGGUGCAAGUCGAAAACUUCUUUCCAAAAGCAAAGAAUUUUUGAGAAAAACAUGAUUAAAAGAUCACUCUCACGAGCUGCAUAGUGGAUGUUUCACUGCGGGCAAAUUCACACAUUAAUGACCCUUGAUUUCACUAAAUCCCUUUUUCUCCCCCAAAUGGUCUGUGUCUUACUUGUCCACUUUCCCAAAAUGGAGAAACAAAAGAAAAUGUUGCAUCAAUUGUGCAUCCUCUUCUUCCUAUCCCUACUUUUCUUGCAGACCCAUAUGAAACUUUGUGAUGGGCUGUCGAUUUCGAAGGUGAAUUUACUGAAAACUAAUGAAUUGGAUGCAAUGGUGAAAAGGGUUUGUGGAAGAAAGGUCAGUGAUUGCUUAGAAAGGGCAGAUGAAGAGGAUCAGAUGGAUUCUGAGAGUAAUAGAAGGAUUUUGGCGUUUCAUAAAAGGUUUAUAAGUUAUGAUACUUUGAAGAGGGAUACUGUGCCAUGUUCGAGGCCUGGGGCGUCGUAUUAUAACUGUAAAGGUGUGGUCAAUUCUUAUAGCAGAGGUUGUGAGCUCAUUACUAGGUGUGCGAGGGGAGAUUAAUUGCUUCAAAUCUUGGAUUUUGACAUUGAAAAGUGCAGCUGUAGGAAAACGCGAUGGUUUGCUGCAGAAGCUCAUGGGUGACCCGAUAAAGUUAUGCAUAAGCUGAUUCUGUUCAGGCUUAUAAUGUAGCCUUUAGUAACUGAAGAUAGUAGGAGCAACUUGCAGCAUUGUAGCUGAUAAUGGCAUAUGUAUUUCUACCCUGUAAUUCGUAUUAUUUAUUUCUGGGAACGUAUUGCUUGGCACUAUAAAGUUUUCAUCAAUUAGUCAUUUUUUUUCUUAUUCAUCAA
Molecule: long non-coding RNA, 907 nt
Organism: Olea europaea var. sylvestris
Lineage: Eukaryota; Viridiplantae; Streptophyta; Magnoliopsida; Lamiales; Oleaceae
Exons: 2
Source: RefSeq, a predicted model, not a curated record